GGGGUUGUGGCUCAGCAGUGGAGCACUCAUCUGGCACAUGGGAGGCCCUGGGUUCGAUCCUCAGCACCA
Ictidomys tridecemlineatus (thirteen-lined ground squirrel) is the source of this 69-nucleotide non-coding RNA. Lineage: Eukaryota; Metazoa; Chordata; Mammalia; Rodentia; Sciuridae. The record is from Rfam.